Long non-coding RNA from Daphnia pulicaria, 2045 nucleotides. RefSeq lists it as uncharacterized. The transcript is spliced from 6 exons. Lineage: Eukaryota; Metazoa; Arthropoda; Branchiopoda; Diplostraca; Daphniidae. The record is from RefSeq and is a predicted model, not a curated record.
AUAACGAGUUUGUUUCACUUUGGAGUUUGGACUUUCUUUCGUUACCGUUGAUUGUUGAAUCUUGAAUCAAUUGAAAGAAAUAUGGCGACCACAUUGUGACUUGCAAGUGUCCGGAUCGGGGCCAUUACGUCAACAAAAUCUGCCGUACUAAAACAGCACAGCAACUAUGCAUAGUAGCAGUGAAAACUGAAAAGCAACAUGGAGGCGUGUGGAUUUUCGGGGAGAAAUUGACAGCUCUCGGAUAAGAAACUAUUGCAUGGGAGGACCUUAAAGCGAGUUAUUAUUGGAGCAGCCCUAUAUCAAUUCUAACAGUUGCUGGAAGAUUUGGCCGUUACAGAAUUUUAUAAAGCCCUUUGACAAUGAAAGCAAUGCAAUAUGUGAAGCAGGUGGCUUCCAUGGCAAAAACAAAUCCUCUCUGGAUCUUGACAAAUAAGUGACUAGAGUUUUUUUGAGACCACUUUGAGACUGUCAUCAAAGUGGAGAAAGAAAAAGAGAAACUUAUUCUACUCCCUUCAAGACUGUCACUGUAUGGAAGGCUGUCACAAAACAUGUUAACCAGGAAACAAGUGAUGCAAACCAACUUCUAAAACUCAGUGAUGACCGUUUAAUGUUCGUGUCAACUGCCCACCCUUGAGGACCGCCCAGUCAAAGAACCGCCAACCUAAUCGCAACCUGCUGCAGCCAGCACUGAGAACUCGCGAUUACGAGGAACUACACAACUUUGUAUGGCAGUUGCAGAACCACAAGAGCUCCUUGCCGUUCCUCAAGUCUGUGGCUGUAACAGAAGUAACAACUUUUAUAAGAUCAUCAAGAUUACAAAGAGUUGAUACCUGCGACUUGGUAAAGUUCUCACGCGUACCCGUGAUUUUUGUACUACUUACCGAAAGUUAACGUCGUGUGCUUUUUGCUGUAUGCAUCGCUUUGCUUGAUCCUUGAUUGCGUGGACAAAGUCGUUGGUCUUUUCCGAGUAUUUCUUUUACUUCAGGUUCAAAACCUAUAGCAUUCUGUUGUUUAAGAUGGCGUGAUGAAGUACCAGUGGUGAAGUCAGAAAUGGAAACAGUUAACUAUGGCGUUGUGCUGCUGUUGGUUGUUGUAUCGUUGAUGACUGGGUCGACCACGAGUGUACCGAUGUCUGGGUAUGGUGGAUUCCAAGCAACAGCAGCGAAAGAAUAGUACACCACGUUGCAGCCUUAAUACACAACAACGUCAACAUAAGCAACACCUACUUACUACACUGAUGCUCGUAAGUACUACACCACCUAGGCUCCAAGACUACACGAAAACUUACGUUUCCCUGAGCGACCUGUGAAACACGAAAGUAUUUCUCUGCCCCGAGUUACACAGAGUUACAUCACCAAAGCGCCUGAGUACUACACUGAGGCUCCCAAUUACUAUUCUGAUCAUAGCUACUACACCGAGGCUGCAGCUUGUUACACCACCAAAGCGGUCGAGUGCUACACCGAAGCGUCCAAGUACUACACUGAAACCUACUGCCGCGCACAAUUUGUCACCAAUUGCCUUCUUCAUCGUAUUGAUCCUGUUCUCAAUAACGGCUAACUAUGGCUUUAUGUUGCGUUUUGUUUUUGCAUUGUUGAUGGCUGUGUCCAACAUGGGUGUACCGAUGUCUCAUGGGAAUGGCGUAUAGCAAACCGCAACGCCGCUGCCUUACUACACAACAACAACAACAUACGCAACAUUCGGUUACUACACCACCAAGUCUUAAGAGUAUUACACCGAAACUUAUGAUGCCCCGAGCUACUACACCGAGGUCCGAACUAUAAGUCUGCCUGAGCUACAUUACCAAAGAGCCGGAGUACUACCCCAAAGCGCCCAAAUACUACAUUAAAACCUACGCUGCCCCGAGCUACUACACCGACGCCCCGAAGUUUUAGUCUUUUCAAAUGCAGAUUAAUGAAAUUACAUUAAUAACAAUUCGUUAACACAAUACAUUUUAUUCUAUGUCUAUGUUAACUACAUAAAAAUAAAUUUAUUAUUCAUUAAUCACAUGAGUAAAUAAAUAAAUAUGACUAAUAAUAUUAAUCCGU